This 41-nucleotide non-coding RNA is filed under the name unclassified sequences. Its description in RNAcentral is "L31-Actinobacteria ribosomal protein leader". It matches the Rfam family "L31-Actinobacteria ribosomal protein leader". The record is from RNAcentral.
GCGGUACCGGUUCACGUCUCGCAGCAGGCGACCCGGCGACC